This 468-nucleotide ribosomal RNA is filed under the name uncultured bacterium. RNAcentral's name for it is "partial 16S ribosomal RNA". It matches the Rfam family "Bacterial small subunit ribosomal RNA", at positions 28 to 507 of the family's 1533-position model. The record is from RNAcentral.
GACGAACGCUGGCGGCGUGCUUAACACAUGCAAGUCGAACGGAAAGGCCCUGCUUUUGUGGGGUGCUCGAGUGGCGAACGGGUGAGUAACACGUGAGUAACCUGCCCUUGACUUUGGGAUAACUUCAGGAAACUGGGGCUAAUACCGGAUAGGAGCUCCUGCUGCAUGGUGGGGGUUGGAAAGUUUCGGCGGUUGGGGAUGGACUCGCGGCUUAUCAGCUUGUUGGUGGGGUAGUGGCUUACCAAGGCUUUGACGGGUAGCCGGCCUGAGAGGGUGACCGGCGACAUUGGGACUGAGAGACGGACCAGACUCGUACGGGGGGCAGCGGUGGGGAAUAUGGCACAGUGGGCGGGAGCCUGAGGCGGAAGCGCCGCGUGCGGGAUGACGGCCUUCGGGGAGUAAACCGCAUUCGCCUGUGACGAAGCGGUAGUGACGGUAAUGGGUAAAGAAGCACCGGCUAACUGCGUG